Molecule: long non-coding RNA, 3107 nt
Organism: Gasterosteus aculeatus aculeatus (three-spined stickleback)
Lineage: Eukaryota; Metazoa; Chordata; Actinopteri; Perciformes; Gasterosteidae
Source: Ensembl
GUUAGCUAUGUUACAUUAUUUUUAACUUACCAAACACAAUGCAGAUAAGGAGGAUGCUCUGUUGUCUAAGAGAGGAAACAAUAUGACAAACUGACAUUAAGAAGGUUCAAACUUUCAGCCUUUAAACACUAUAGGAAAUUAUUACAUACAGAGAGAAGUAGAUUACCGCUGUUCCAUAUUACCAACAUAGUUAAUUAACGUUAACGUUAGUUAAUUAUGUUUCUCAAAAGACAAACUACUUUAAAUGCUAUUGACAUCGGAUUUGUAAUUUAUCCAUAAUUCAGACAUGAAUGGAGGAGUGAAAUAUUCCCAUGGUUACCACAUGCUAACUUCUACGUAAUGCUAAAAAUAGGCUGACGUGGCAAUUUCAUCAGUUGGCUGACUAAUUUGGCAGCGAGCAAAGUAACGCUAACCAGCUAACUAGUAGCUAACGCCAACAAACUAGUCAACACAAACUGACAAAACCCUUGAAAUUUUAACCAAUUUGUCAAUGAACAUACUUUAGGUCAGCAUUAUCUUGUGUUAUAAUGCUGUAGAUGAAAUGCAGCGCUCUGAUUGGUUGACAGUGAGUCACGUGGUGCACAUCAUUGAGUGAUGUACAGUUCUUGUUCCAUAUCACUGCGCACUAAGAGUAACGGUUUGACCGACCGUUAGUAUCAGCAAUGAGGUACUCGAGGCAGUACUUUAUGUACAGCCUCUUGUACCUUAUUGCUUAAUAAACGUCACGAAUGAAUUUGAAUCGCCUCCUUCCUUAUAAUGAACUAUGACACUAAUAGACGAAAUAUUUCCCUCAUACGGCACACAAAUGAACCCGUGACUUAACGUUAAACUACGAUAACAUAAAGGCUAACGCAGACUGUAUCCAUAUUAACUGAAAAGUUAGUUAGCUAACCAAGUUAGUUACCAAACUGACCAGUUCAUGCCAGUUCAGCACAUAACUUAAUACCGUUACAUAUUUGUCAUACUAAUGUGCUGCCAGCUUAGCGGCUAUGCUAUUGUUAGCCACGUUUUGCCGUUGUCAUACACAGGGAAUAUUUCACUCUUUCUUUAGUGUACACAUACUGCACGGGUUACAAACGGACGACAACGCCGUUUCACAACUAUAUAACUGUCAUUACACCAUCCAGAAUAUUAAAUCUAUAGUUGUCCUUUAAGAGCACUCGUAUCAUCAGCGAGAUACUAUAGUAUAAGCUGAUAAAUUGACAACAAGAUAUGGUCAAUACACGUGGUUAAUUUUUUGAAAUGUGAAAAGUUGAUUAAGUAAUGUUUUCCUAAGGCAUGAUAUGAAUUCACUAAUGAUUUUUUAGUACAUUAUAUGAGACUAAUUCGUGACACUAUUACCUUGUUAAAUCUAGUUUUGGAAAUAGCAACAUUAAGCUCCUACGCGGUGUAUCAGGCAAACACUUACGUCAGCAGCCAUUAUAUCCGACAUCAUCGGAGCGCUUUUGAACUCAUCACUGUCAAAAUCACUGUCAAAAAAACAUAUAAAAAAUUUGCGGCCAAAAGUCCGUCUCGCGCAAGCAAAAGUUGGUGAUUUGCCUCAGUCUUGUGAAAGCUGACAGAGAGGUAAGUUUGUUCCUCUCUAAAUGAGAUAAGAAAAUGAAGAAUAUGAAGAAUAACUGACAUGAAUUGAGUAUUUAUAUUGUAUAACCCUAUAAGUAUAACCAUUUUUAAUAAAAGAAACAAUUAAGUGACUAGAGUUGUUUAAAAUGUUUAAGCUAGCGGUUAGAUAGAGUAUCUUGGUUAGCAAAAGGGAUUUCCAAAUAGUGGUCAUCAAUUUUUGAAUGCAGUUUAGCGUUUUAGGCAAACGUAAUGCUCUCUUUAAUACAAGAUAUUAACCUAAUACGUUUGUGAUAACGAUAUACUAAUGAAGCAACACAAUAUGAAAUAAAAGAAACGUUUUAGAAAAUAAUGUGUACUAACCUACUACAUAGCUUUUUCUUAAUGCUUUGUGUUUAUUUUAAUAUUUCAGAAUGGCCUUAAAGACGCUUUUGACGACGAAGCCUCCAACACCCUAUUUUCGCCCCCCGCCAAUCCACCUAUGUGUGGUGUUGGUGGUGGAGAAGCCCAGGGUGGUGGCCUGGGAGUUUGACUCAAAUGGUGCGAGACCAGCACAGACAAAAAUGAAUAUUCUGGCCGCACUAACCGAUGGAGAUUCAGUGGCCAAAGUCACUGUAUUCGAGGAGUUUGGCAAAAGACUUAAGGAGGGUGGGAGUUAUAAUGUAAAGAGGGCAGUCCCCCCCAUAUCAAUUAAAUAUAACUAAGGACACGCUGUUCUUUAGGAGCGCUCCUAUAGCGCUCAGCGCAGCGCUCAAACGGGAAGCAGAGCUUCUAAUACACCCCCCCUCUCCACUGACUCCGCUGAGCACCUGCCGGGAAGCCAGGGGCCUGAUAACCGUGGAGGGCGAGGUGGUCGAGCUGUCAGCUUUAAAAGAAAUCACGACAGGGAGAGACGUCGUUCCAUUGCGCAACGUCACGAUGCAGCAGGGGGAAUCACAGAUGUCGCUGUGUUUCUGGAGGGAGGCGGCCGUAUGGCAGCUGCAGGUGGGGCCCACAUUAAAGUUUCCCAUCUUAAAGCUGAGAGUUUAAACUAUGGGCUCAGACUCCAGUCCACAAACUUUUCCACCAUCGAGGAGGUACGCUCAGAGGACAUCGUGGGGGCACUCGGGGUGAUAGAGAUUGAGGGAGAUCCGGGGAACCUCAACCUUCUCCUAGAAGACGGCCGUACCGUCUUAAUUGAGGAGAGAUUGUGGGAGCCAAUCGAACUUGUUAUGAUCGAACCCGUAAUAAAAGUUCAAAUAAAAAUGACAGGAAACAAGGUGCAGGCGAUGGAAGUGGCGAAAAAUUUAAAUUUCUACUGUUAUAAAAUGUAUAUGUUUAUAAGAUUGUGUUCAUAAUGUAUCAGUUAUGUGUUCAUUUUGUUUUGACUUGUUACUUAUGUUCAAUUGUUUUUUACGCUUGUUUAUAAUAAUAAUAAUAAUAAUUUGUUGCAAUAAAUAUUCAACCGUAGCCGUAGUUGUCCGUCACUGUUCAUUUUGAAUGCUGCAUGUGACUUAUUUUCAGUAGAGGUUUCUUAUCCCUUUAGCAAUGAUGGCUGGUGGAACACU